UUAAGCGACUAAGCGUACACGGUGGAUGCCCUGGCAGUCAGAGGCGAUGAAGGACGUGCUAAUCUGCGAUAAGCGUCGGUAAGGUGAUAUGAACCGUUAUAACCGGCGAUUUCCGAAUGGGGAAACCCAGUGUGUUUCGACACACUAUCAUUAACUGAAUCCAUAGGUUAAUGAGGCGAACCGGGGGAACUGAAACAUCUAAGUACCCCGAGGAAAAGAAAUCAACCGAGAUUCCCCCAGUAGCGGCGAGCGAACGGGGAGCAGCCCAGAGCCUGAAUCAGUGUGUGUGUUAGUGGAAGCGUCUGGAAAGGCGCGCGAUACAGGGUGACAGCCCCGUACACAAAAAUGCACAUGCUGUGAGCUCGAUGAGUAGGGCGGGACACGUGGUAUCCUGUCUGAAUAUGGGGGGACCAUCCUCCAAGGCUAAAUACUCCUGACUGACCGAUAGUGAACCAGUACCGUGAGGGAAAGGCGAAAAGAACCCCGGCGAGGGGAGUGAAAAAGAACCUGAAACCGUGUACGUACAAGCAGUGGGAGCACGCUUAGGCGUGUGACUGCGUACCUUUUGUAUAAUGGGUCAGCGACUUAUAUUCUGUAGCAAGGUUAACCGAAUAGGGGAGCCGAAGGGAAACCGAGUCUUAACUGGGCGUUAAGUUGCAGGGUAUAGACCCGAAACCCGGUGAUCUAGCCAUGGGCAGGUUGAAGGUUGGGUAACACUAACUGGAGGACCGAACCGACUAAUGUUGAAAAAUUAGCGGAUGACUUGUGGCUGGGGGUGAAAGGCCAAUCAAACCGGGAGAUAGCUGGUUCUCCCCGAAAGCUAUUUAGGUAGCGCCUCGUGAAUUCAUCUCCGGGGGUAGAGCACUGUUUCGGCAAGGGGGUCAUCCCGACUUACCAACCCGAUGCAAACUGCGAAUACCGGAGAAUGUUAUCACGGGAGACACACGGCGGGUGCUAACGUCCGUCGUGAAGAGGGAAACAACCCAGACCGCCAGCUAAGGUCCCAAAGUCAUGGUUAAGUGGGAAACGAUGUGGGAAGGCCCAGACAGCCAGGAUGUUGGCUUAGAAGCAGCCAUCAUUUAAAGAAAGCGUAAUAGCUCACUGGUCGAGUCGGCCUGCGCGGAAGAUGUAACGGGGCUAAACCAUGCACCGAAGCUGCGGCAGCGACGCUUAUGCGUUGUUGGGUAGGGGAGCGUUCUGUAAGCCUGUGAAGGUGUGCUGUGAGGCAUGCUGGAGGUAUCAGAAGUGCGAAUGCUGACAUAAGUAACGAUAAAGCGGGUGAAAAGCCCGCUCGCCGGAAGACCAAGGGUUCCUGUCCAACGUUAAUCGGGGCAGGGUGAGUCGACCCCUAAGGCGAGGCCGAAAGGCGUAGUCGAUGGGAAACAGGUUAAUAUUCCUGUACUUGGUGUUACUGCGAAGGGGGGACGGAGAAGGCUAUGUUGGCCGGGCGACGGUUGUCCCGGUUUAAGCGUGUAGGCUGGUUUUCCAGGCAAAUCCGGAAAAUCAAGGCUGAGGCGUGAUGACGAGGCACUACGGUGCUGAAGCGACAAAUGCCCUGCUUCCAGGAAAAGCCUCUAAGCAUCAGGUAACAUCAAAUCGUACCCCAAACCGACACAGGUGGUCAGGUAGAGAAUACCAAGGCGCUUGAGAGAACUCGGGUGAAGGAACUAGGCAAAAUGGUGCCGUAACUUCGGGAGAAGGCACGCUGAUAUGUAGGUGAAGUCCCUCGCGGAUGGAGCUGAAAUCAGUCGAAGAUACCAGCUGGCUGCAACUGUUUAUUAAAAACACAGCACUGUGCAAACACGAAAGUGGACGUAUACGGUGUGACGCCUGCCCGGUGCCGGAAGGUUAAUUGAUGGGGUCAGCGCAAGCGAAGCUCUUGAUCGAAGCCCCGGUAAACGGCGGCCGUAACUAUAACGGUCCUAAGGUAGCGAAAUUCCUUGUCGGGUAAGUUCCGACCUGCACGAAUGGCGUAAUGAUGGCCAGGCUGUCUCCACCCGAGACUCAGUGAAAUUGAACUCGCUGUGAAGAUGCAGUGUACCCGCGGCAAGACGGAAAGACCCCGUGAACCUUUACUAUAGCUUGACACUGAACAUUGAGCCUUGAUGUGUAGGAUAGGUGGGAGGCUUAGAAGUGUGGACGCCAGUCUGCAUGGAGCCGACCUUGAAAUACCACCCUUUAAUGUUUGAUGUUCUAACGUUGACCCGUAAUCCGGGUUGCGGACAGUGUCUGGUGGGUAGUUUGACUGGGGCGGUCUCCUCCUAAAGAGUAACGGAGGAGCACGAAGGUUGGCUAAUCCUGGUCGGACAUCAGGAGGUUAGUGCAAUGGCAUAAGCCAGCUUGACUGCGAGCGUGACGGCGCGAGCAGGUGCGAAAGCAGGUCAUAGUGAUCCGGUGGUUCUGAAUGGAAGGGCCAUCGCUCAACGGAUAAAAGGUACUCCGGGGAUAACAGGCUGAUACCGCCCAAGAGUUCAUAUCGACGGCGGUGUUUGGCACCUCGAUGUCGGCUCAUCACAUCCUGGGGCUGAAGUAGGUCCCAAGGGUAUGGCUGUUCGCCAUUUAAAGUGGUACGCGAGCUGGGUUUAGAACGUCGUGAGACAGUUCGGUCCCUAUCUGCCGUGGGCGCUGGAGAACUGAGGGGGGCUGCUCCUAGUACGAGAGGACCGGAGUGGACGCAUCACUGGUGUUCGGGUUGUCAUGCCAAUGGCACUGCCCGGUAGCUAAAUGCGGAAGAGAUAAGUGCUGAAAGCAUCUAAGCACGAAACUUGCCCCGAGAUGAGUUCUCCCUGACCCUUUAAGGGUCCUGAAGGAACGUUGAAGACGACGACGUUGAUAGGCCGGGUGUGUAAGCGCAGCGAUGCGUUGAGCUAACCGGUACUAAUGAACCGUGAGGCUUAACCUU
RNAcentral lists this ribosomal RNA (2902 nucleotides) under Escherichia coli. Its description in RNAcentral is "23S ribosomal RNA". It matches the Rfam family "Bacterial large subunit ribosomal RNA". Lineage: Bacteria; Pseudomonadati; Pseudomonadota; Gammaproteobacteria; Enterobacterales; Enterobacteriaceae. The record is from RNAcentral.